UACGUAGGACCCAAGCGUUAUCCGGAAUGACUGGGCGUAAAGAGUUGCGUAGGUGGCUUGUUAAGUGGUGUGUGAAAUAGUGUGGCUCAACCAUACUGCUAUACACUAAACUGGCAGGCUAGAGCAAGAAAGAGGUAACUGGAAUUCCUAGUGUAGGAGUGAAAUCCGUAGAUAUUAGGAGGAACACCGAUGGCGUAGGCAGGUUACUGGUUCUUUGCUGACACUAAGGCACGAAAGCGUGGGGAGCAAACGGG
RNAcentral lists this ribosomal RNA (254 nucleotides) under uncultured bacterium. RNAcentral describes it as "partial 16S ribosomal RNA". It matches the Rfam family "Bacterial small subunit ribosomal RNA", at positions 524 to 776 of the family's 1533-position model. The record is from RNAcentral.